This 400-nucleotide ribosomal RNA is filed under the name uncultured bacterium. RNAcentral's name for it is "bacterial SSU rRNA". It matches the Rfam family "Bacterial small subunit ribosomal RNA", at positions 359 to 776 of the family's 1533-position model. The record is from RNAcentral.
GAAUCUUAGACAAUGGGCGCAAGCCUGAUCUAGCCAUGCCGCGUGAGCGAUGAAGGCCUUAGGGUUGUAAAGCUCUUUCACCGGGGAAGAUAAUGACGGUACCCGGAGAAGAAGCCCCGGCUAACUCCGUGCCAGCAGCCGCGGUAAUACGGAGGGUGCAAGCGUGAAUCGGAAUUACUGGGCGUAAAGGGCACGCAGGUGGCUUGGCGAGUCGGGUGUGAAAGCCCUGGGCUUAACCUGGGAAUUGCAUUCGAUACUGCCGAGCUAGAGUAUGGGAGAGGAAAGUGGAAUUCCCGGUGUAGCGGUGAAAUGCGUAGAUAUCGGGAGGAACAUCAGUGGCGAAGGCGGCUUUCUGGCCCGAUACUGACACUCAUGUGCGAAAGCGUGGGGAGCAAACAGG